UACAGAGGAGCCAAGCGUUGUCCGGAUUGACUGGGCGUACAGGGCACGCAGGUGGCUGCACAGGUGGCGUGUGAAAGCCCCGCGCUUAACGCGGGGAGGCCACGCCAAACGGUGCGGCUCGAGCGAUGCAGAGGGUGGUGGAAUUGCCGGUGUAGUGGUGAAAUGCGUAGAGAUCGGCAGGAACACCAAGGACGAAGGUAACCACCUGGGCAUCAGCUGACACUCAUGUGCGACAGCGUGGGGAGCGAACCGG
Molecule: ribosomal RNA, 253 nt
Filed under: uncultured bacterium
Lineage: Bacteria
Description: partial 16S ribosomal RNA
Rfam family: Bacterial small subunit ribosomal RNA
Source: RNAcentral